RNAcentral lists this ribosomal RNA (625 nucleotides) under uncultured bacterium. RNAcentral describes it as "bacterial SSU rRNA". It matches the Rfam family "Bacterial small subunit ribosomal RNA", at positions 216 to 833 of the family's 1533-position model. The record is from RNAcentral.
CGCGAUUGGAUGAACCUAGGUGGGAUUAGCUAGUUGGUGAGGUAAUGGCUCACCAAGGCGACGAUCCCUAGCUGUUCUGAGAGGAUGAUCAGCCACACUGGGACUGAGACACGGCCCAGACUCCUACGGGAGGCAGCAGUGGGGAAUAUUGCACAAUGGGGGAAACCCUGAUGCAGCCAUGCCGCGUGUGUGAAGAAGGCCUUCGGGUUGUAAAGCACUUUCAGUAGGGAGGAAAGGGUGUAGUUUAAUACGCUAUAUCUGUGACGUUACCUACAGAAGAAGGACCGGCUAACUCCGUGCCAGCAGCCGCGGUAAUACGGAGGGUCCGAGCGUUAAUCGGAAUUACUGGGCGUAAAGCGUGCGCAGGCGGUUUGUUAAGCGAGAUGUGAAAGCCCUGGGCUCAACCUAGGAAUAGCAUUUCGAACUGGCGAACUAGAGUCUUGUAGAGGGGGGUAGAAUUCCAGGUGUAGCGGUGAAAUGCGUGGAGAUCUGGAGGAAUACCGGUGGCGAAGGCGGCCCCCUGGACAAAGACUGACGCUCAUGCACGAAAGCGUGGGGAGCAAACAGGAUUAGAUACCCAGGUAGUCCACGCCGUAAACGAUGUCUACUCGGAGUUUGGUGUCUU